GGGCUUGACAUCCCACGAACCUGCCCGAAAGGGUUGGGUGCCCGCAAGGGAGCGUGGAGACAGGUGGUGCAUGGCUGUCGUCAGCUCGUGUCGUGAGAUGUUGGGUUAAGUCCCGCAACGAGCGCAACCCUCACCCCUUGUUGCCACCGGGUCAUGCCGAGCACUCUAGGGGAACUGCCAGCGUCAAGCUGGAGGAAGGCGGGGAUGACGUCAAGUCAUCAUGCCCCUUACGCCCUGGGCUACACACGUGCUACAAUGGCUGGUACAAAGGGAUGCGAGACCGCGAGGUGGAGCUAAUCCCAAAAAACCGGUCUAAGUUCAGAUUGCAGUCUGCAACUCGACUGCAUGAAGGAGGAAUCGCUAGUAAUCGCGCAUCAGCACGGCGCGGUGAAUACGUUCCCGGGCCUUGUACACACCGCCCGUCACACCACGAAAGUCAGCUGUACUCGAAGUCGCUGAG
RNAcentral lists this ribosomal RNA (460 nucleotides) under uncultured Methylomirabilota bacterium. RNAcentral's name for it is "bacterial SSU rRNA". It matches the Rfam family "Bacterial small subunit ribosomal RNA", at positions 977 to 1434 of the family's 1533-position model. The record is from RNAcentral. Lineage: Bacteria; Methylomirabilota (SeqCode).